AUUGAUUCAUUGGAAAUAUGGAAGGAAAAACAUAGGAAUACUAAAUUAUCUUUUGGUGACAGAUUUUCCUUUUGUUUUAGAUUUUUAUUUGUGGCACUAAAUUAUCUUUUGUUUUUCUGUUAAUUGUGGUCGUUGGCAGAUGGAUAAAAAAAACUCUGUAAGGCUCAUUGAAGCCAUCGAGCAAUUGAACCCAGAGGCCACUGUAAAGCUCACUCAAGCUAUUGAGAAAUUGAUCCAGGAGCUCAAGGAAAAGUCACCUUUCGAUGCGCUAUCUGAGCGUAAGAAGGUACUAACUGAAUUUGUGAAAAAAAAUUAUAUUCAUGUGAUAUUAAAGUGUGGUAUUUGGAUCUAUUGCAGUCAUUCAUUGAAGCUUCAAAAGCGUUUACGCUGUUUGCCGGCGCCGGUUUAAAUGCGAUGAAUGCGUUCGCUAUCACUUUGGCUUACAUGUCAAUGCAUUCGAUGAAUGUCAACGCAGAUGCUGCUAACACUACUUCAACAGCCGCUCCUCCUACUGAGAGUGCUACUUCUCCUCCCAAUAUGAUUCAAUCUUUUCUUAUCUUGGGAACAAUGUUUUGUUUCCUUUUCACAAGCUGCGCUACAGCAGUGGCUCAUGCCACUGUACAUCGCACAAAGUGGUUCUCCAUGCUCGUGGUGAUUAUGAUCCUGGAAGUCAUUCUCUUGAAUGUCACAUGCGCGCUUUAUUGCUACCUACUUACGGAGGGGGUCUUCUGCAUCAUUGCUGCUGCUCUAUUGUUUUUCUCGUUGGUUUUCAUGCUUGGGUUUAUUACUAUCGGCUUCGUAAGUAAAUUUUCCCCAUGCUUCAUUUUUGUACUCCAUUAUUGAAUUUUUGUUUGACAACGAAAAUGAUCUUUCAGCAUGGUUGAACCUGGAUGGAAUGGUGAAGCGUUGAUUGAAGAUAAACCUGGACGGAAUGAUCUUUUGUCAUGAUUUGUUGGAAAGAGGCUCGCAAUGCUACUGGAAGUCAAGUCUCUUAGAAACUCUUUAUGUUGGUGUAGUCUUUCAGCAUGGUUGAACCUGGAUGGAAUUGUUUAAGUGCUGCUUGAAGAUAAACCUGGAUGGAAUGAUCUUUUGUCAUGAUCUGUUGGAAAGAGGGUCGCAAUGCUAUUGGAAGUCAAGUCUCUUAGAAACUCUGUAUGGUAGUGUAGUAGUUAAACAAUGUAAACUGGGCUAGUUUUAUCGGAAGUCUAGUCUUUUUUGUAGCAAAACUUUACAUGCCAGGCACGCCCCUUGUGUCGUCCUUGCGACUCGUAUCGCUACUGUUUCAAAGCCACUGGAAGUUUCAUCCUUGAUUAGCAUUAAAUGAAGGAUUGUUCGGAUAGCAAAAACUACUAGUGCCAGGUUUAUAUAAACUUUUAAUGACCUGUUUAUAAAAUUAUGUUUGGGUUAAUUUAGUUUUCCUAUUUCAG
This 1427-nucleotide long non-coding RNA is filed under the name Triticum aestivum (bread wheat). RNAcentral's name for it is "long non-coding RNA (TAES_LNC007474)". Lineage: Eukaryota; Viridiplantae; Streptophyta; Magnoliopsida; Poales; Poaceae. The record is from RNAcentral.